GACGAACGCUGGCGGCGUGCUUAACACAUGCAAGUCGAACGAAGUGGCGAACGGGUGAGUAACGCGUAAUCAACCUGCCCUUCAGAGGGGGACAACAGUUGGAAACGACUGCUAAUACCGCAUACUGAAGGGGGGGAUUGCGUCGGAUUAGCUGGUUGGAGGGGUAACGGCCCACCAAGGCGAUGAACAGUAGCCGGUCUGAGGGGAUGAACGGCCACAACGGGACCUAGAAAAGGGCCAGACUCCUACGGGAGGGAGCAGUGGGGAAGCUUUCGAAAUGGACGAAAGUCUUACGGAGCAACGCCGCGUGAGUGAUGACGGCCUUCGGGUUGGAAAGCUCUGUUAAUCGGGACGCGGUACCGGAAUAGAAAGCCACGGCUAACUACGUGCCAGCAGCCGCGGUAAUAC
RNAcentral lists this ribosomal RNA (408 nucleotides) under uncultured bacterium. Its description in RNAcentral is "partial 16S ribosomal RNA". It matches the Rfam family "Bacterial small subunit ribosomal RNA", at positions 28 to 526 of the family's 1533-position model. The record is from RNAcentral.